GACAGAGGGUGCAAACGUUGCUCGGAAUCACUGGGCGUAAAGGGCGUGUAGGCGGGAUUGAUAGUCAGAUGUGAAAUCCCUGGGCUCAACCCAGGAACUGCAUUUGAAACUCCCCUUCUUGAGUACCGGAGAGGAAAGUGGAAUUCCUGGUGUAGAGGUGAAAUUCGUAGAUAUCAGGAGGAACACCAGUGGCGAAGGCGGCUUUCUGGACGGUAACUGACGCUGAGACGCGAAAGCGUGGGGAGCAAACAGG
Molecule: ribosomal RNA, 253 nt
Filed under: uncultured bacterium
Lineage: Bacteria
Description: partial 16S ribosomal RNA
Rfam family: Bacterial small subunit ribosomal RNA
Source: RNAcentral